ACGUUUUCUCACGUGUCGUGCACGCGUGCAGUAUGCUUGAUGUAAUUUAAUGCGCAAUAAGGGAGCUUAAACUAAUUUUUCCAGUAGACCUCUCGUUCCCUCGUCUUCUUCCCUUCGCUCGGCCGUCGGAAAUGGCCGCCCUAUCGACGCUGUUCUUCGGUGUGAAGCAGCCGCCUCUAUUCCCCUCCUCCGCCGCCUUCCCUCUCUCCAAGCCCUUGUCUACUUCGAGAUCCCAACGGAGGAACCCCUUCUCUGCGUCGCUGGUGGUCAUCGCGGCUGUGACCAUCUCCAAAGCCCAUACCCGGGAGCGGGUGAGGCUCAAGUAGCUAUUCCGGGAGGCGCGAGAAAGGUGCCUCGUCGAUCCCAUGGACGGUGUCUUCUUCACCCUCGACGAUUUCCUCGCCGCCUUUGACAAGCACGACGGGUCCGAGCCCAAGUUGGUCCCAAGGUUGUUGGGCAAAAUAAAGGAGGUGUGGUGGUCAUCAUGGAGGGCCUUCAUGAGUGGCUUCUCGUACUUGAGGUGAUUGUAGACCCCUUCAUGCCAAUUGUACCCAUCAAGGAUCUAGACAUAGCAGGAUCCCACUGG
Molecule: non-coding RNA, 586 nt
Organism: Phoenix dactylifera (date palm)
Lineage: Eukaryota; Viridiplantae; Streptophyta; Magnoliopsida; Arecales; Arecaceae
Source: RefSeq, a predicted model, not a curated record